This is a non-coding RNA of Microcebus murinus (gray mouse lemur), 1011 nucleotides long. The record is from RefSeq and is a predicted model, not a curated record. NCBI's taxonomy places the organism in Eukaryota, Metazoa, Chordata, Mammalia, Primates, Cheirogaleidae.
GAAAAAAUUUAUUCAGCAGAGAGAUUUCUCAUUGCCACUGGUGAAAGGUCACGUUACUUGGGCAUCCCUGGCGACAAAGAAUACGGCGUCAGCAGUGAUGAUCUUUUCUCCUUACCUUACUGCCCAGGUAAGACCCUGGUGGUUGGAGCAUCUAUGUCACUUUGGAAUGUGCUGGAUUUCUUUCUGGUAUUUGUUUAGAUGUCACUGUUAUGGUACGGUCCAUUCUUCUUAGAGGAUUUGACCAGGACAUGGCCAACAAAAUUGGUGAACACAUGGAAGAACAUGGUGUCAAGUUUAUAAGACAAUUUGUACCAAUCAAAGCUGAACAAAUUGAAGCUGGGACACCAGGCCGACUCAGGGCGGCAGCUCAGUCCACACUAGUGAGGAAACCAUCGAAGGAGAGUAUAAUACGGUGUUGCUGGCAAUAGGAAGAGAUCCUUGCACAAGAAAAAUUGGCUUAGAAACUGUGGGAAUGAAGAUAAAUGAAAAGACUGGAAAAAUACCUGUCGCAGAUGAAGAGCAGACCAAUGUGCCUUAGUCUGUGCCACCGGCGAUGUGUUGGAGGACGAACUGGAGCUCACCCCAGCCGCAGUCCAGGCAGGAAGACUGCUGGCUCAGAGGCUUUAUGCAGGUUCCACUGUCAAAUGUGACUAUGAAAAUAUUCCAACAACUGUAUUUACUCCAUUGGAAUAUGGUGUUUGUGGCCUUUCUGAAGAGAAAGCUGUGGAGAAAUUUGGGGAAGAAAAUAUUGAGGUUUACCAUAGUUACUUUUGCCCAUUGGAAUGGACAGUUCCAUCAAGAGAUAACAACAAAUGUUAUGCAAAAAUAGUCUGCAAUAUGAAAGACAGUGAACGUGUUGUGGGAUUUCACGUACUGGGUCCAAAUGCUGGAGAAGUUACACAAGGCUUUGCAGCUGCACUCAAAUGUGGACUGACCAAAACACAGCUGGACAACACAAUUGGAACCCACCCCGUCUGUGCAGAGGCCUUCACGACUCUGUGACCAAGCGCU